GCACUGCUGAUGAGACCCAAACAGGUUAAAACAGCUGUCCAGUGC
This 45-nucleotide non-coding RNA is filed under the name Echinostoma caproni. The record is from RNAcentral. Lineage: Eukaryota; Metazoa; Platyhelminthes; Trematoda; Plagiorchiida; Echinostomatidae.